Molecule: ribosomal RNA, 304 nt
Filed under: Stutzerimonas stutzeri
Lineage: Bacteria; Pseudomonadati; Pseudomonadota; Gammaproteobacteria; Pseudomonadales; Pseudomonadaceae
Description: Pseudomonas stutzeri partial 23S ribosomal RNA
Rfam family: Bacterial large subunit ribosomal RNA
Source: RNAcentral
GCCGUGGACGUUUGAGAUUUGAGAGGGGCUGCUCCUAGUACGAGAGGACCGGAGUGGACGAACCUCUGGUGUUCCGGUUGUCACGCCAGUGGCAUUGCCGGGUAGCUAUGUUCGGAAGAGAUAACCGCUGAAAGCAUCUAAGCGGGAAACUUGCCUCAAGAUGAGAUCUCACUGGAGCCUUGAGCUCCCUGAAGGGCCGUCGAAGACUACGACGUUGAUAGGUUGGGUGUGUAAGCGCUGUGAGGCGUUGAGCUAACCAAUACUAAUUGCCCGUGAGGCUUGACCAUAUAACACCCAAACAAUU